Molecule: ribosomal RNA, 253 nt
Filed under: uncultured bacterium
Lineage: Bacteria
Description: partial 16S ribosomal RNA
Rfam family: Bacterial small subunit ribosomal RNA
Source: RNAcentral
UACGGGGGGGGCAAGCGUUGUUCGGAAUUACUGGGCGUAAAGGGCUUGUAGGUGGCCAACUAAGUCAGACGUGAAAUCCCUCGGCUUAACCGGGGAACUGCGUCUGAUACUGGAUGGCUGGAGUGUGGGAGAGGGAUGCGGAAUUCCAGGUGUAGCGGUGAAAUGCGUAGAUAUCUGGAGGAACACCGGUGGCGAAGGCGGAUCUCUGGGCCUUACCUGACGCUCAGGUGCGAAAGCUAGGGGAGCGAACAGG